AAGCUAAGCUGUGCAGUGCAGCAUUUCACUAACCUACACAUUCCUAGCUUUCAACAACUCGGAGAGUUGCCCAUCACUAAUCCGUUGGCAUGAAUACCAAGACUCCUGCAAAAGUCCUGAUGAUGGCUCUGUGAUUAAAUCUCCGAGUUCUUUCCAUCCCCAGGAAUUUGCCUUAGAUCCAAGACAUCUGAGUGUUGCUUCCCCACUUCCCAUGGACAACUGGUUGUGUUUCCUGGUUUCCAAGAGAAAGCCUUCAGCCUUAUAGAAAAGAAGAAAACAAGGACAGCAAAAGUCAACUCUAUGACUGCUACAAUACACUGAGGAGUUACUCCCCAAAAAUGUUACUCAUAGCUGGAUUGAGAGAGUAUUUGGGAAAUGUGGCAAUGUGGUUUACAUAAGUAUUCCACAUUACAAGUCUACUGGGGAUCCGAAGGGAUUUGCCUUCGUGGAGUUUGAAACAAAAGAACAAGCAGCAAAAGCCAUUGAGUUUCUGAACAACCCACCAGAGGAAGCACCUAGAAAGCCUGGAAUAAGACCGUGAAAAACAAACCCAUCCCUUCCUUACGAGUAGCUGAAGAGAAGAAAAAAAAAGAAAAAGAAAAAAGGCAGAAUAAAGAAGGAAGAGAGUGUGCAAGCCAAAGAGUCAGCUGUAGACAGCAGCAGCUCGGGGCCGUGUAAAGCCACGAAGAGACCCAGGACUGAGUCCGAGGGCUCAGAAGCAGAAACCCCAGAAGCGCCAAAGCAACCUGCAAAGAAAAAGAAAAAGCAGCGGGACAAGGCGGAAGCAUCUAGCUUACCUGAUGUCAGGGCGGGGAAGAGGGAGAGGAGCGACUUAUGCUCUAUUGCAGAGGAGAAGGAGACGGGGGACAGUAAAGGUGACUCGCUCUCAAAGGUGAAGAGGAAGCAUAAGAAGAAACACGGGGAGCGACAUAAGAUGGGCGAGGAGGUUAUCUCAUUGAGAGUGCUGUCCAAGUAAGUGCCUGUCCUCCGCGGCCACCGACACAGCUCUGGACCACAGACCUUUUACGAGUGGAUUCUGGGACCGCAGAGCACCAGCCAGGAGUCCAUUUCUUGUGGACUCUUGAAGAUGUAAGAUAAAUGAGGUUCUGUAGAAUGAAGAGGACAGGUGGGAUCUGAAAAGCCAGAGUGAAGGGAAACACCGUUUAUCUGUUCAUUCUCUGAUAUCCAUUAUAUAUUGCUGGGUACUUUUUAUUCUGUUUCCACUGUCGCAUGCAACUAGGCAAUGGUGUCUUGGGUAAUUCAAGUGAUCUUGAUGGUAGGAAUUCGUAUAUGAGCAGAUAGACAAAUGUCUUUACCACACAGGACACGCAUGUUAGUAAAGAGGCUAGAGGAGAGGGCUGGGAUGAGGGCAAGGAUGCUGUGCUCAGGUUUCCUAGGUGGUUCUGGUGGACUUCAGCAGAUCAGAGUGCCAACAGAAACCUGGGCAGUAAAGACUGUUCUUGAGGAGCUCACGUCACAUUUUGUAGAGUCUCUGGGUGUUUUAACAAACUGGGAAGACGUCCGCCUCUCUUGAAGGUGAACUAAGUGCAUUUUUACAUUCAGAGGGUGGAAUGUAAUGGUUUGAACUGAAACCAUUUCAACAGGCUCACGUUAUAUGCUCAGAAUCCGGCUGUAAUGCUCUUUUAAGGACUAUGGAGCCUAUAGACGGGGCACUGGGAACUGGAGAGGUGACUCAGUGGUUAAGAGUACUUACUGCUCUAACAGAGGAUGUGGGUUUGGUUCCCAGAACCUAAAUCAGGCAUCUCACAACUCCCUGUGACUCUAAUCCUAGGGGUUAUGACACUGUCUUCUGGCAUCCAUGGGCACUUGUAUGAACUUGAUACACAUAAACUCAUAUAGGUGUACACACACACACACACACACACACCACAAAAAUAAAACCAAAUAAAUAAGAAGAAGGUGGGGCCUGCCUGGCAAACGUAGACCACUAGAGGUGAGCCUUUGAAGGGUAUGUACUUCUGGUUCUGGCUUUCUUUCUUGCGAAAUUCGACGGACAAGCCCCACACAUUCUCCCUAACCACAACCUCAACCCCAACCCUAUCCCUAAUCCCAAUCCCAAUCCCAACCCCAACCCUAAACCUAACCCGUUCUAGUAGCCCCUCCUGCCAUGAUGAACUGAAAUCUCUGAAAUCACUAGACAAAUUAAAAAUGUGCACCCUUA
This is a long non-coding RNA of Apodemus sylvaticus (European woodmouse), 2182 nucleotides long. RefSeq lists it as uncharacterized. NCBI's taxonomy places the organism in Eukaryota, Metazoa, Chordata, Mammalia, Rodentia, Muridae. The record is from RefSeq and is a predicted model, not a curated record. The transcript has 6 exons.